GCCCAGAUUGCUCAGUCAGUAGAGGAUAAGACUUUUAAUCUAAUGGUCCAGUGUUCAAGUCCUUGUUUGGGCG
Molecule: transfer RNA, 73 nt
Filed under: Danionella translucida
Lineage: Eukaryota; Metazoa; Chordata; Actinopteri; Cypriniformes; Danionidae
Also listed under: 1 other name
Rfam family: tRNA
About the family: Transfer RNA (tRNA) molecules are approximately 80 nucleotides in length. Their secondary structure includes four short double-helical elements and three loops (D, anti-codon, and T loops).
Source: Rfam by way of RNAcentral